Molecule: transfer RNA, 76 nt
Filed under: Cyprinella lutrensis (red shiner)
Lineage: Eukaryota; Metazoa; Chordata; Actinopteri; Cypriniformes; Leuciscidae
Description: tRNA-Lys
Rfam family: tRNA
About the family: Transfer RNA (tRNA) molecules are approximately 80 nucleotides in length. Their secondary structure includes four short double-helical elements and three loops (D, anti-codon, and T loops).
Source: RNAcentral
CACUAGGAAGCUAAUUAUCGGAUAAAGCGUUGGCCUUUUAAGCCAAAGUUUGGUGCCUACCGACCACCCCUAGUGA